RNAcentral lists this ribosomal RNA (468 nucleotides) under uncultured bacterium. RNAcentral describes it as "partial 16S ribosomal RNA". It matches the Rfam family "Bacterial small subunit ribosomal RNA", at positions 28 to 507 of the family's 1533-position model. The record is from RNAcentral.
GACGAACGCUGGCGGCGUGCUUAACACAUGCAAGUCGAACGGAAAGGCCCUGCUUUUGUGGGGUGCUCGAGUGGCGAACGGGUGAGUAACACGUGAGUAACCUGCCCUUGACUUUGGGAUAACUUCAGAAAACUGGGCUUAAUACCGACUAGGAGCUCCUGAUGCUGGGGGGGGUUUGGAAAGUUCCGGCGGUUGGGGAUGGACGCGCGGCUUAUCAGCUUGUUGGUGGGGUGGUGGCUUACCAAGGCUUUGACGGGUAGCCGGCCUGAGAGGGUGACCGGCCACAUUGGGACUGAGAUACGGCCCAGACUCCUACGGGAGGCAGCAGUGGGGAAUAUUGCACAAUGGGCGGAAGCCUGAUGCAGCAACGCCGCGUGCGGGAUGACGGCCUUCGGGUUGUAAACCGCUUUCGCCUGUGACGAAGCGUGAGUGACGGUAAUGGGUAAAGAAGCACCGGCUAACUACGUG